GCUCCUGUGACAAUGACAUUUUCUUUAGGAGUUCAGCAAAACUGCCUCACUGUUAACUUUUAAUGAACAUCUUUUCUUCCUUUGAACCUGAAUUUGGGCCCCACUGUUCAUUUCAGAGGACGGCUGACUCAAUGGAGAGCUCCCAUGGGAGGCGUGCCAACAGUUCCUGGGACAAUGAGUGGCACAGAGGCGCCACAGUCGUUAUUUUGGAGCAUUAUUCUUUCUUGGUUUCCACAAUAGCUGGGAUCUCAUAAUUUAACAUUAAGCCUCUUUUCAACUAUAUGGAAGUGUAAUAAGGUGAUUUAGCCAAUGUGCCUGUUCGUUGUCCCAAAGAUUCUGUGAUCUAUUAUGCU
RNAcentral lists this long non-coding RNA (353 nucleotides) under Homo sapiens (human). Its description in RNAcentral is "HSALNT0146881". The record is from RNAcentral. Lineage: Eukaryota; Metazoa; Chordata; Mammalia; Primates; Hominidae.